This is a long non-coding RNA of Scomber japonicus (chub mackerel), 211 nucleotides long. RefSeq lists it as uncharacterized. The record is from RefSeq and is a predicted model, not a curated record. Lineage: Eukaryota; Metazoa; Chordata; Actinopteri; Scombriformes; Scombridae. The transcript has 3 exons.
UGAUGAUUUAUGUUUAAAGUUCUGCAUUUAACUUUGCAUUUUGUGUCUUUCAGGAUAUACACCUGUUAUAAUCAGUGUGCUCACUGUUCUAUUUGUUGUAUCCAUAGUGGUGGCCUUUACACAUAAGUAUUUCCUGAGGAGAAAGGGCUCAUAUGACACCAGAGAAGACCUGAAGCCAGCAUUAUUACCCUUCCAAACUCUUUAGCUUGCC